GAGGGGUGAGGGGGGAUUGAAUCUUGACACGAGUCAUUUACACCUCUGCUAUAAAUGUAACGUAAUCUUAAUGCAGCGAUUGCGAGUCGAAUGUUAAACGAGUACGAAUGCAACGUACACCGCGCGAUGAUGGUUCGUUAAUGACGCGAUCAUCGGGGAAAGAAAAGCGAUAAAAGAAAAAGAAAAGAAAAAGAAGGAAAAGGAAAAAGGAGGAAAGGAGAAAAGGAGAGAGAGAGAGAGAGAGAGAGAGAGAAAAUGGCGCAAAGCCGCGCCGUUUGAACGAGACGUUUCAUUAUCAUUUUAAUCGAGUACGUAACGGGUAACAGUAGUCCGAAGAGACGAGCAAAACAGUUGGAUUUUCAGAAACGAUUACACGACCGAGCAAGGAGAUAUCUAAGAAAAUUACGUGGUCGCGCAACGAGCAAGUUCACCGACUGAAACGACUUGGACGAAUAAGAAGAAGCCAUACUCGUUUCCGAAGGAUGUUUACCUCUGGAAAGCAUCAGCUGAAGACGAAGAUAAGCGAGCGGGAGGGAGCGGUCCGAGAGCAACUCGGAGAUGCACUCGGAACGCAGAACGAGGAGGCUCAAACAGGAGAAUGGUUGUCGGGGUCAAUAAACGCGAGGAUCCUUGCUCGGCUGGCAAGGUCGCCACGAAGGUAAAAAAUCAACCGUGCUCCUUGUCUCUCUCUCUCUCUCUCUCUCCCCCUCCCUCCCUCCCUCCCUCUCUCCUCCCUCCCUCUCCUCCCAUUUUUGCCCAUUCCAAGUUGCCGGACCGACGACGCCUGAAAACUAUCCUUCGGAUGGAGAAAACCAGUCCCCUCCCCUGCCCCUCCCCUCCCCCUCCGGCUGCCCCAGUCCAGUUUGUUCUCCCUUAAGGCCGGUGCACAAGCGGCGCGCGCGCUGUCGGUCGGCGAACGAGCGUAAUUUCAAGGGUGAAACCGGUGUCAAAGCACGAUCCACAUUUAUCGCGGCUUUCUGGUCGCGCGCGACAUAAACGAUCGCGAUAGCGGUGGUUUUUGGCGCGCGUGAGCGGACGAGCAGGCAGCCAACUCGGGGCUCCCGUCGUCGCUUGGCGCCGGUGAAACUGUGCUCCGAUUAGGAAAUAUCGGCGCGUAAUUAGAAGCGGGCAAGUUUAAAUCCGCACACGCGAGCAUUGGAUGCGCCCUGAGUGUCAAUAGAGCUGUCUGCCAAAGAGAAAAUCGACCCGCCUCGCGCACGCCUCUACGGUCAACUAUUCGCGGACAUUCGUGUAUAUAUAUAUACGUGUACCAUGUAUGCCGUGUUCACGAUACCAUCGCGUCAUUGACGAUUUCACUAUCGACGAACGCCUCGAAGGAAUGGGAGAAAUCCGUCUCGGAACCAAGUGGUUCGAACCGAUUCGAAUGUAAUGAGAAAGGAAGAUAAGUCGAUUCCGUUGUUUCGCCUCUAUUCUCGAGCGCGUAGCUCUGGACGAUUUUUCGGGAUAUAAUAUACGUUUCGUAAACAGGUCUAAAUUGUAUCGUUUAUAUUUAGAAGCGGUGCAGGUGGUUCAACGGGGAACACCUGAGAUACGUUACCUUUGAAUAUUCCAAGAUAAAAUAAGCCGUUGUUCCUAAGUCGCCAUAUCGUUUCCUUCUGACGCACGCAACACUAAUAAAACGAGGUGUAAUAAACGGACAUGAAAAUACGAUCGAUUUGCACAGAUGCGAAAUGUUUGAAUUAUAUAUUCGUCAUCGACGAGUCAAUCAAUAACGCUUUGUUCACGUGAUCGCGUGAAAUCAAAGUUCCUCCGCUAUAUAUAUAUAUACUGUAUUCGCAAUUGCGUAGAAGAAGAUAAGAAGUAAGAGAAAAAAGAAAAGGAAAGAAAAGUAAGCGCGAAACUUUACGAACGUCGAUUUCUUUGUUCGAGCUUGGUAAGAGUGACCCCCUUCGAAGGAACAUCGGCCAGUCGUCGUAUUUUCCAGCAUUUCGAUGGUGGAAAUUAGGCCGUGUUGCGUUCAGCACGCGUUCUAACUGUUCGCGGAAAGGUCAAGGGAACGGAGGAGGAGGCUAGCAGCGCGUUCCGUUAAUUUUAGAAACGAUCGAUCCGUAAAUCGUUUCCGUAAAUAUCGGCGAUAUCGUCGUCGAAGGACGAAUAGCUUACUUUCUUUUCAUCGAGAGAGCCUCGCCACUCUCCUCUUCUACGCUUGGUAACGUUCGCGGAUUUCCGUUUCCGCACCAUCGCGUUCAAGGAUUCGCCGAUCGAAGCAUCGCGUCGACACCUGCUUAAAUCUCGCGUCGGGCUUAGUCAUGCGCGCAUUCCCAUCUCUCGUGGCUAUAAUUAUUUUCUUGCGCAUCGAGCGGCCGCCGAUAGCGGUCGACAUAAUAGAGGAGAAAUUCUGCUCGGAACAAUAAUUCGUGCUAAAUAUAGGUAGCGCGUGCGGCGUAUUACGGUCGGCCGAGAAGAGGAUGGAUACGGAGCUGGAUCGAUACGGAGACAGUGAGUACGAUGAAGAAGUGGAAGAGACGAGGAGGAAACGGGUUUUCGAGUUUCUUGCUCGACCCAUCGUGGCCGACGUGGAUGUGGCCGAGAUGAUGAUGACGCCGAGCUUGAGGAUAAUGAUGAUGAUGAUGAUGAUGAUGAUGAUGAUUAUGGCGACGGUGAUGGUUUCCUCGCGCUCCACCACCGCGAAUCCUCGAGGCGUCUAUCGCGAAGCUUGAUACACACGGUCUAGCCAAUUACCAUUCGUGGCCAAAGAUAGAUUAAGGCCUUCGUUAUGUCCGUCUAUAUUUAAACUUCUAUUUUUUGCCUGGUUUUAACCAACCGUGUCAUUUACAUACUCGUAAUAAGUAGAUUUCGAUCGAUGAUAUCGCGAGGAUAAAAUCGGGCUUACGAUUAUUCGCUAGGAUCGCGUGUUGCGCCAAGUAUUAAUAUCGUAAUGCCGAGUCGGAUAAGAAAACGUUUUGAAAAUUGGCACGACGCGACGAUCGUUAAACGAUCGGACGGUGGGGUUAACGACGCACGGGCGAUAAAUCGGGGAACGGUUCGAGAACGGUUUAGAGAAGGUACGAGAGGCGCCUACUGUAACGGUGAAAAUGAAUGGCAGUGAUGACGAGAAGUGGCGAUUGGAACGAGCGUUCGACGGAUGAAGGCAGGAGGACGAAAGAGAAUCGAAAGACACGCGAGAGACCCCUGGGGAAAAGCGGAGACAGACGGAAAAGAAAGGGGGAAAAAGAAAGAGGGAAAGAUGGGCGCAGGGAGGAGGAAAGAAAAAGCGAGCACGACGAUAAAGCGGGUAGCGAGAAGGAAGGAGGUUGUUGUAACGUCGCUUCGGGUCCGGGAAUAGAUGGUAAACUACAUGGCACUGGUCCGGUUGGCGCGUACAGCGAGCAAAACGAGCAGCACGCCAAGAAGGAAAAGGAAAAGGAUGAGGAACUGGCGCCGGCGCUCCGCGUUUCUAAGCGGUCUCGACUCGCUUCUUGAAAAUUAGCCGGACGCACGUGAAAAUUGCCUGGCGGCGCGAGUCGAGCCGUUCGAUUUACGCCGGCGACCCAGCUCGAGCCUCGCCAAUUUCCAGAUCCCGAUUCUCGCGGAUUCUUGCUACAUCUUGUUAAUUCUGAUCUCUCUCGUGGCUGUCAUCGUAUCCGAUGUAUGUAAACCGAUCCAUGCCUGUUUUGUCGGGAUUCUUUUCCGUCGUUUUUUUUUUUUUUUAAUCGUUUCUUUUUAAAUAUCGCCGGCGCGUCUCUACUUCGAUGCUUUAUUCGACCAUCAUCGAUAACUAUUCUACUUAAACUUGUUAAAAUGCGCGGUUUACUUUUCGACGAGAAAUAUCGAAUCUUUUUUACGAUCGAUGAAACUCGAAUUUUUUGAAAUUUUUCUCUCUUUCUUUUUUUUUUUCUUUUUCCUACCUGUCGGAUAACAGAUUCGGUAUUAGCACCGAUUUGCAUCCGCAAAAGUCUUUCGCAAGGUAUUGCAAAAGUCAACGACCAUAACGGUUAGGUUGCGAUGCGACUGGUAAAUAGAAUCGUUUGCAAUUUAAGCGCUCUAAAAUCUGCUGUACGCACGUUUUCGUACAGUUACGCGUUGAAUACUCAUUGCAAUUGUCGAGAAUUGCACUCGAACGUAGUCCAUUUUUUCUCUCGAUUUCUUUCGGCAAAGAACACGACCGAAUGUUAUAAAUAGAACAAUUGCGAUUUUUAUUAUUUUAUACGUAUAUAUAUAUAUCGUGCGUUUUAAAGUUACGAAUAAUCUUCUUAAUAUUUCGUGUCCUUGUUAAACAUCGCGCUUAUUUUAUAUAAUGGCGAAAUUUUUUUCCAAAUUCGUUUUAUCCGGCGAGAAUAAAGAAAAAGAAUAGAUAUCGGCGAAAGAAAGAAGCAAAAGAGACGAAAGAGCGAUUUCCGAAAUACGAAUGUAUCGAGCCGAAAACGUCCUCCAACUUGCUCCUGUCUCAAGAUCACGGCCGGUUACUAUGUUUUAUUUACGCGAUCGUAAAUAUCGGCGUAAUCCUUCGGAAGGUCGUAACGCCGCAAAAUCACAAUUACGUCUGGGUGUUGUACUCUAGUCGGCACGUUCGAUGUCACGCAUCUAGAGUGGCGUCGGUAACCGCUUAAAAUUCUGUCUUCUCUUUUUUCUCUCAAAGGUUGAAGAAUGCGUUGCAUCCUCGCUACAUGAAUUAUUAAUGGAGAUCUCACGCGACGAUCGGCUCUCCGUUCCGUUGUUGGCCGGACAAGCUCGUUUCCAGAGUCGGCGAUAGAACCGAUUUGGAUCGUCUUCGCGAGCUUCUUUCACCGUGAUACAGACCAACCGACCGCACGUUUCUUUCGCGAUUCGUGUGCGUGAUACCAACGUGUUCCCGCGUCCGCAAAGAUAAUUCCACGGAAGGAUCGGUUUUUGCUGUCACUCUUGUCACUUAUUUCUCCGGCCACGGGGAGCCGGCGGAAUGCUCAUGUUCAUGGAAGAUUCGCGGAACAGGCGCCUGAAAAAUCCGUGCUAUUUCUAGUCGACGCGAACAUCCGCCACCGGUUCGCAAAAACCGUUCGGAGAUUCGAGUCUUUCUUUUGCAUCCUUAGAAACGGUUUCUUUCUACUUGUCUACGGAUACCGUAAGCGUAAUUGUGAAAAUCGUUAGAAACAGUUUUUUCAAUUGCAUUCUAAAUGAGAACUGUUAAAAAUAUUUUUCUCUGGUCGCGAUGAAAUAUAUCCAGUCUUUUUCGAACACGUAUGCUCGUUCGUGACGAUUCCAUUGUUCUCCGUUCUCCAGUUCAGGAAAUUUAAUUUCGAAUUCGUACGUUUAAAUUUAGAUUUAAAAUUUCGAGUAAAAGAAUUCAACAAAAAAUUCUAAUUUCCGACUUCGGUGUGCAAGUUGGGGAAUGUUAUAUUAUAAAAUUGAAAUUCAAUUUCGAACGUUCCAUUUCAAUUUGAAAUAAAAAUCCUGCUUUGAA
This is a long non-coding RNA of Apis cerana (Asiatic honeybee), 5401 nucleotides long. RefSeq lists it as uncharacterized. The record is from RefSeq and is a predicted model, not a curated record. Lineage: Eukaryota; Metazoa; Arthropoda; Insecta; Hymenoptera; Apidae.